UUAAAUUGAAGAGUUUGAUCAUGGCUCAGAUUGAACGCUGGCGGCAGGCCUAACACAUGCAAGUCGAACGGUAACAGGAAGCAGCUUGCUGCUUCGCUGACGAGUGGCGGACGGGGGAGUAAUGUCUGGGAAACUGCCUGAUGGAGGGGGAUAACUACUGGAAACGGUAGCUAAUACCGCAUAACGUCGCAAGACCAAAGAGGGGGACCUUCGGGCCUCUUGCCAUCGGAUGUGCCCAGAUGGGAUUAGCUUGUUGGUGGGGUAACGGCUCACCAAGGCGACGAUCCCUAGCUGGUCUGAGAGGAUGACCAGCCACACUGGAACUGAGACACGGUCCAGACUCCUACGGGAGGCAGCAGUGGGGAAUAUUGCACAAUGGGCGCAAGCCUGAUGCAGCCAUGCCGCGUGUAUGAAGAAGGCCUUCGGGUUGUAAAGUACUUUCAGCGGGGAGGAAGGGAGUAAAGCUAAUACCUU
RNAcentral lists this ribosomal RNA (474 nucleotides) under Escherichia coli. Its description in RNAcentral is "bacterial SSU rRNA". It matches the Rfam family "Bacterial small subunit ribosomal RNA", at positions 1 to 469 of the family's 1533-position model. The record is from RNAcentral. Lineage: Bacteria; Pseudomonadati; Pseudomonadota; Gammaproteobacteria; Enterobacterales; Enterobacteriaceae.